GACGAACGCUGGCGGCGUGCCUAAUACAUGCAAGUUGAGCGCUGAAGGUUGGUACUUGUACCUACUGGAUGAGCAGCGAACGGGUGAGUAACGCGUGGGGAAUCUGCCUUUGAGCGGGGGACAACAUUUGGAAACGAAUGCUAAUACCGCAUAAAAACUUUAAACACAAGUUUUAAGUUUGAAAGAUGCAAUUGCAUCACUCAAAGAUGAUCCCGCGUUGUAUUAGCUAGUUGGUGAGGUAAAGGCUCACCAAGGCGAUGAUACAUAGCCGACCUGAGAGGGUGGUGGGCCACCUUGGGACUGAGACACGGCCCAAAAGCCUACGGGGGGCAGCAGUAGGGGAGCUUCGGCAAUGGUCGAAAGUCUGACCGAGGAACGCCGCGGGAGGGAAGAAGGUUUUCGGAUCGUAAAAAUCUGUUGGUAGAGAAGAACGUUGGUGAGAGUGGAAAGCUCAUCAAGUGACGGUAACUACCCAGAAAGGGACGGCUAACUACGUG
This 497-nucleotide ribosomal RNA is filed under the name uncultured bacterium. Its description in RNAcentral is "partial 16S ribosomal RNA". It matches the Rfam family "Bacterial small subunit ribosomal RNA", at positions 28 to 507 of the family's 1533-position model. The record is from RNAcentral.